CAGCAGCCGCGGUAAAACGGAGGGUGCAAGCGUUAAUCGGAAUUACUGGGCGUAAAGCGUGCGUAGGCGGUUCGUUAAGUCUGUUGUGAAAGCCCCGGGCUCAACCUGGGAAUGGCAAUGGAUACUGGCGAGCUAGAGUGUGUCAGAGGGUGGUGGAAUUCCCGGUGUAGCGGUGAAAUGCGUAGAGAUCGGGAGGAACAUCAGUGGCGAAGGCGGCCAUCUGGGACAACACUGACGCUGAGGCACGAAAGCGUGGGGAGCAAACAGGAUUAGAGACCCGCGUAGUCCCUGUCUCUUAUAC
This 301-nucleotide ribosomal RNA is filed under the name uncultured bacterium. RNAcentral describes it as "partial 16S ribosomal RNA". It matches the Rfam family "Bacterial small subunit ribosomal RNA", at positions 509 to 807 of the family's 1533-position model. The record is from RNAcentral.